AUUAAUUCAACGUUAAUACCCCAAGUGAUAAUAGUUGGAUGGAGCCAUUCUGAUGCCUAGAUUUCUUUGAAAUCCAGCUAUAGGGCAUAAAACUUGCACCAAAAUCUUAGACCAACCAUGGAUAGGGCUUUGAAGUAGACUGAUCAGUAACUGAGCGCAUUUGCCGCUGUGACGACAACUCCGCAAUCAGCGGUCUCUCUGUUGCAACCUUUUCUCUCUUCACCGCGCCUUCUUUCAGUCAUGCCAUUGAAAGACAAAACUGUCUCAUCUCCAGAUCUGGUCAUAGACGCAUUGUUUUGUUAUAUUUUCUGUUUUCUGGCUCGUGUGAAAGUGACCAAGGGAAGAGACAAAGGGGGUGUGUCGGAGAGCGAGAAAGGGAUCCCUGCAAUUGUGCAGUAGCCGAAGAGCCGGACAGAGGCAACGGCCGUGGUUGUGGGAGGUGCAUUGUCGUAGAGAAGGAGAGAGAGAAGGAGAAAAAUAUUUUUUUUUUAUUUGAUCCACUAUGGAUAGUCACAAUAAUCUCAAAAACACAUCUUAUCUAACAGUCAGUUCUUAUUUUCUUUUCAC
This 567-nucleotide long non-coding RNA is filed under the name Glycine max (soybean). Its description in RNAcentral is "long non-coding RNA (GMAX_LNC003477)". The record is from RNAcentral. Lineage: Eukaryota; Viridiplantae; Streptophyta; Magnoliopsida; Fabales; Fabaceae.